Long non-coding RNA from Psammomys obesus (fat sand rat), 427 nucleotides. RefSeq lists it as uncharacterized. Lineage: Eukaryota; Metazoa; Chordata; Mammalia; Rodentia; Muridae. The transcript has 2 exons. The record is from RefSeq and is a predicted model, not a curated record.
GCGCUGAGAGAGGUGUCUCCUGCUGGACUUCUCCAGGAUGGUCCCAUCUGCCUUUUUCCUCUGGGGUCCACUACUACCACCAUGCCCUGGGAGGCCUGUUCUUCCUGCUUGUUCUAGCCUCAAGCGGGCUCCCGCCUCCACCCUCCCCUCUCCUUCCUGGACACGUGGUUUUAUUUUUAACCUGAGUUUACAGGCAGGAUCUGGAAGAGCCAGUUUGUGGCAGCUUUUUUGCUUCCCUCCCCCACCUAAAGAGUCACAUGUGGAACCCGAAUUCCCCGAAAGUCUGUGGUGACAGCGUUGGCCCACUGAAAAGGGCGCAGACAGGGCAAUGAUACAGCGAGAGAGAGAGGAGGGCCUUCUUCCCCUGUCUUCCUCCCCCUGGCUCCACCACCUGAUCGCUGAUUUUCAAUGAAAUUACGUAUUUGUU